This 414-nucleotide ribosomal RNA is filed under the name uncultured bacterium. Its description in RNAcentral is "bacterial SSU rRNA". It matches the Rfam family "Bacterial small subunit ribosomal RNA", at positions 355 to 786 of the family's 1533-position model. The record is from RNAcentral.
UGGGGAAUAUUGCACAAUGGGGGAAACCCUGAUGCAGCGACGCCGCGUGAAGGAAGAAGUAUCUCGGUAUGUAAACUUCUAUCAGCAGGGAAGAAAAUGACGGUACCUGACUAAGAAGCCCCGGCUAACUACGUGCCAGCAGCCGCGGUAAUACGUAGGGGGCAAGCGUUAUCCGGAUUUACUGGGUGUAAAGGGAGCGUAGACGGAGCAGCAAGUCUGAUGUGAAAGGCAGGGGCUCAACCCCUGAACUGCAUUGGAAACUGUUGGUCUUGAGUACCGGAGGGGUAAGCGGAAUUCCUAGUGUAGCGGUGAAAUGCGUAGAUAUUGGGAGGAACACCAGUGGCGAAGGCGCCUUUCUGGACUGUGUCUGACGCUGAGAUGCGAAAGCCAGGGUAGCGAACAGGAUUAGAUACC